Molecule: ribosomal RNA, 441 nt
Filed under: uncultured bacterium
Lineage: Bacteria
Description: bacterial SSU rRNA
Rfam family: Archaeal small subunit ribosomal RNA
Source: RNAcentral
AGAGAAUAGAUACCCUGGUAGUCCCAGCUGUAAACGAUGCAGACUCGGUGAUGAAAUUGGCUUAUUGCUAAAUUCAGUGCCGCAGGGAAGCCGUUAAGUUUGCCGCCUGGGGAGUACGGUCGCAAGACUGAAACUUGAAGGAAUUGGCGGGGGAGCACCACAAGGGGUGAAGCCUGCGGUUCAAUUGGAGUCAACGCCGGAAAUCUUACCGGGGGCGACAGCAGAGUGAAGGUCAAGCUGAAGACUUUACCAGACAAGCUGAGAGGAGGUGCAUGGCCGUCGCCAGCUCGUGCCGUGAGGUGUCCUGUUAAGUCAGGUAACGAGCGAGAUCCCUGCCUCUAGUUGCUACCAUUAUUCUCAGGAGUAGUGGAGCUAAUUAGAGGGACCACCGUCGCUGAGACGGAGGAAGGUGGGGGCUACGGCAGGUCAGUAUGCCCGAAA